CCGUUAACGAACGAGACCUCGGCCUGCUAAAUAGUUUAGCGAAUCCUCCGGGAUUCGUCUACUUAACUUCUUAGAGGGACUAUCGGUGAUUUAGCCGAUGGAAGUUCGAGGCAAUAACAGGUCUGUGAUGCCCUUAGAUGUUCUGGGCCGCACGCGCGCUACACUGAUACGUUCAUCGAGCUUACAACCUUGGUUGAGAGGCCUGGGUAAUCUUUUGAAACCGUAUCGUGCUGGGGAUAGAUUAUUGUAAUUUUUAAUCUUCAACGAGGAAUUCCUAGUAAACGCUGGUCAUCAGCCAGCAUUGAUUACGUCCCUGCCCUUUGUACACACCGCCCGUCGCUAAUACCGAUUGAAUGGGUC
Molecule: ribosomal RNA, 360 nt
Filed under: Eukaryota sp.
Lineage: Eukaryota
Description: SSU rRNA
Rfam family: Eukaryotic small subunit ribosomal RNA
Source: RNAcentral